GCUAUCGAGGUUCGACUAAGCCAUGCGAGUCGAAUGUAGCAAUACAUGGCGUACUGCUCAGUAACACGUGGAUAACCUGCCCUUGAGACGGGGAUAAACCCGGGAAACUGGGUAUAAUACCCGAUAGAUCUCGGCUGCUGGAAUGCACCGAGUUCUAAAGCUCCGGCGCUCAAGGAUGGAUCUGCGGCCUAUCAGGUAGUAGUGGGUGUAGCGUACCUACUAGCCUACGACGGGUACGGGUUGUGAGAGCAAGAGCCCGGAGAUGGAUUCUGAGACACGAAUCCAGGCCCUACGGGGUGCAGCAGGCGCGAAAACUUUACAAUGCUGGAAACAGCGAUAAGGGGACCUCGAGUGCCAGGUUACAAAUCUGGCUGUCGUGAUGCCUAAAAAGCAUUGCAUAGCAAGGGCCGGGCAAGACCGGUGCCAGCCGCCGCGGUAACACCGGCGGCUCGAGUGGUAACCGUUAUUAUUGGGUCUAAAGGGUCUGUAGCCGGCCGGAUAAGUCUCUUGGGAAAUCUGGCAGCUUAACUGUCAGGCUUUCAGGAGAUACUGUCUGGCUCGAGGCCGGGAGAGGUGAGAGGUACUUCAGGGGUAGGGGUGAAAUCUUGUAAUCCUUGAAGGACCACCAGUGGCGAAGGCGUCUCACCAGAACGGACCUGACGGCAAGGGACGAAAGCUAGGGGCACGAACUGGAUUAGAUACCCGGGUAGUCCUAGCCGUAAACGAUACUCGCUAGGUGUCGGCCACGGUGCGACCGUUGUCGGUGCCGUAGGGAAGCCGUGAAGCGAGCCACCUGGGAAGUACGGCCGCAAGGCUGAAACUUAAAGGAAUUGGCGGGGG
This 840-nucleotide ribosomal RNA is filed under the name uncultured archaeon. Its description in RNAcentral is "bacterial SSU rRNA". It matches the Rfam family "Archaeal small subunit ribosomal RNA", at positions 29 to 874 of the family's 1478-position model. The record is from RNAcentral.